AAAAAGUUAGUAUAUAUAAUUAUUAUUGGUUGUCGGCCUAUAGAAGAGAAUUUUUUCUCACUUUUUG
This 67-nucleotide transfer RNA is filed under the name Crassiplana albatrossi. RNAcentral's name for it is "tRNA-Asp". Lineage: Eukaryota; Metazoa; Platyhelminthes; Polycladida; Callioplanidae. The record is from RNAcentral.